Molecule: long non-coding RNA, 16110 nt
Organism: Mirounga angustirostris (Northern elephant seal)
Lineage: Eukaryota; Metazoa; Chordata; Mammalia; Carnivora; Phocidae
Exons: 2
Source: RefSeq, a predicted model, not a curated record
AGCCAGGAAGUGACAAAAGGCAGAGAAUUACUGACCGCUAUAGGAAGCACGAUAAUCCUUGGGCCAAGUCUUCUCUGUUUGGGGUCCACUAGAGUGAGCCGCCUUGCUUCCUAGUUCCUGGGGUAUUAAAGAUACCUAACCUUCCAAAUGCUAUCCCAAGAGAGAAUGCCUAAGCAACUUUUCUUCUCUUUCCCAUUUCCCCCCUUGCUGGUCACACCAGCAGUGACCGCCCCUCUGCAGGAGAAGCCGUGGAGGCAGAACCCCAGCACGACGACGUACCAGUGUGCCUCUCGGCAUUUUCUAACAGGUCAGCCCUUGGCUGGCAAUUAUCACCCCUUUGUCUCCAUGGAUGUGGCUAAAUGGAGAGCACAGAUAUUUUCAUGCCAAAUGAAGGCCAAGUCAUGACUGGCCCUGCUGUUCCAAGUUUCCCCGUGGAUUGAAGGGAUAAAGUGGCGGGAGAACUGAGUCAUCAAGCAUGCAACCACACCGCAGUGCUGAACUCUGAAAUGCCUCAGGGUGGCAGGCAGAAGCCGAGGCACUUUGGGAGUAGCAGCUCCGUUUCAGAAAAAUAUCAGCUGUCAAGUUAGACUUGUGUAAGUAACUUCAAUUAUAUUGGUUUCAUCAUUUUGUUUGGGUCGAAUUUUAAAAUGUGUUGUGCCUUUAUAAUUUUAUAAGUGCUGUAAAUCCAAGGAAAUUUUUAUCCCUGUUUUCAUAUUUGUACACAUCUAAGUAACGUUGCAGUGAAAAGUAAUUUAAGGCAACACUAGAUGGUCCAUGAGCUUUUCUUUUAAAAUCUUUUAUUUAUUUUGUUACAAGUGGUCCUUUUGAGAAACAGUGCUCUAAACAUUUUGGACCAUUUCUCGAGGAAUUUUCUCUGUUGUGCAUUUCCUUGAAUAUUUCACCAGUCCAGAUCUUUCUCCUCUGACCACGGAUGUGUUGAGGUCAUUGUGGCAGACAUUUUGUUGCCUGCCCAGCACCAAAGAAGUCUAUCUACAGUUACUGCCCCUCUGUUUUCCUUUCUGCAACGUGGGUCUCAGUGGAACCGCCAAUCACGGUGCCCCAUCCCACCUCCACCCCCACUCCCUGGCCCGGGGCUGGAUGCGGAUCCCAAUGAUGUCAGACAGGCUCUCGCUGGAAUUUGAGGCUUGACGCAGAGUGACAUGAGGACUGAAAAUAGUUGAAGCUGAUUCAUCCCAAAGGGUCGAGGCUCCUGCUACUUUAUUCCUUGGUUUUGCCUGGGUUCUGUCCUUUCCAAAAUUUGCUGAUCAGUCAUCGCUUUAAUUCUGUGGGCUAACCUUACCUUUCAACCCAUCCCUUUAUUUUUGAUAAGUUUAGCCAGAGUUGGUUUCUAUUACCCACAACAAUUGAUGGAGCCAUAAGAGUGACAUCUGGUAAAAAGGGUCAGUGAUGAUACCAGGAAGUUUUGUCUGGGUCACAAAAAGAAUGUAUAGCAUUUAUUGGGGUUCAUCAUGUGGCUGUUCAUUCUACAAACACUCUUGAAAGAGGCUGUGGAGCCUAGUGGCUUUAGUAUCACAGGGAGCUAGUUCUCUCACUUAUCAGCUGUGUAGGUCGCCCUGGGCAUGUUCCUUAAACUCUCCAAGCCUGUUUCCUCACAGGUAAGCUGGGAUAAUAAUAGUAAAUACCACAUGGUAUUGUUGUGAAGAUUAAAUGAGAUAAGAUACAUAAAGCUUAGAGUAAAGACUUAAAAUAUGAAGUGUUAUUCUUACAAUUUUCAUAUGUUUUAUGAGAUAGUCACUGAGCUCCAUGCUGGGGAUGCAAAAGUAGUAAGAGAAAAGAAAUUAAGUCCACCCAUAUUUUUCUUGGAAAAAACAUUGACUUUGUUUGAAGAAGUACAUUGAUAAUCUGCCUGGGGUGGAAAGCAAGGAAUUAAGCACCACCGAGGAAAUCAUUAAUUGAAAGUCGAGUGAGAAUGGGAAGAGAAGAGAAAUUAGCCAAAGAAUGACAGAUUGGGGAUUUUAGAGUGAAAGGUGAUGUCAUAUGUAGCCUAUGUACAGUUAGGGGACAGUUGUUAUCUGUGUUUUAUUUCCGGAGUCCUAUGUGGGAUGGUGGAAUUAAGGGACAACUUCCAGUUUAUAAUUUAUAUGAUACUCAGAAAGCAGACCCUUGAAACAGGAUUUUGAGAUUGGGUUGUGUAUAGCACAGAGACCGUGUGCUCGGUAGGGGUGAGGGGAGAACGGGACAUGGAUAAUUCAUGGCGUAUAGCCACAACAUGACUCCCCAAAUGAUCAUGGUAUGAUAGCAAGAAGCCAAGUGCGGUGGAGGGCAAGGCAUGGGGAGGUCAAGUGGCUGUGGGACUUAAUUGCUAUAGCGAUAGUCGUGUUUGUAAGGAUCAUGGAGACACCUGGCUUCUUCUGAGAACCCUAGAUAGUCCAAGGGAAAUGAAAAGCUUUAAAGAUACACUUAAGAAUGCACACAGGGAACCAGAAGGCCUCCAUGACCGCUUGGAGGGAAUCCUUCCUUUUUUGUAACUGCAGGGUUGAUACGGCUGAGGGGUAAAGGGUACAGAGGGUGAAACCUGCUAGGCUUCUUACCCUAGGGUAAGGGCACUGGUGGGGCUGGAGUGGGACAUGAAGCAUGGCUGGUUUGAAGACAUUUGGGCAGACAUGGACAAGGCUGAGAACUUUGAAUCGUUAAGUUCCCCUUGCCUCCCUUGCCAGCAGAGGAAACCUCAUGCCUCUCUGAGGGAACAAACCUUCCUCUCCUAAAAGCCUUUAUACCUGGCAAUUGUGUCCCAAACUAGUGUCACUGCUCAUUAUCUUCAGGCCCCAACAAGAGUUGAAACCAACAGAGCCCUGAUGGAGAGGCACAAAGGCUGGUGUGGGAAGGGAGAGUUUAUACCUAGCUCCAAGAUGUCACUGAUCUGAAUUGGCAAGAGCCUGGGAAGCAACUGUCAGAGUGGAUUCUAAAGGUGUUAGACCUUGGGGCACCUGGGUGGCUCAGUUGGUUAAGCGACUGGAGUCCCAGGAUCAAGCCCUGCAUCCGGCUCCCUGCUUGGCAGGGAGUUUGCUUCUCACUCUGACCCUCCUCCCUCUCGUGCUCUCUCUCUCAAAAAACAAAACAAAACAAAACAAAACAAAACAAAACAAAACAAAACAAAAAAACCAACUUAAAAAAAAAAGUGUUAGACCAAAAAGGACACUAUGUGAGGCUUUUUUGGUUUGAAUUAUUAACACUGGAGUACUCUUCUGGGAUUCUAGAUUUAAUGUGUUGGCUUCAGUGUGCUCAAUUGGCUGACCAAAAUCUGGACUUGGCAGCCAUGGCGUGGCAGGUUGUGUUUUCUGAACUGUUUGGAAUAUAUAUCCUACCCCAGAUGCUCAGUCCUAGGGCUAAGUCAGUUCUCUUGCUUUCUAUCACAGUGCAGUUUGGAGGAAUAUUGGUCAUUUUGCUAUCCCUUAGUAGAUGGAAUUAUGCUAAUGGAGUUGGUGGUGAGGAAGUAGCAAACCGCUUUGAUGUCUUACCAAAAAACAAGUAUGCCUUAGGGUGAAAAAGAAAUCCUGAGAAAGUUUAGGGCUUUGACAUCUUGGUGAGUUUCUAGAGUCCAGUGAUCUGGUUAUUUGGGGCUAUUCCUUCUAAAGUGAGAGACAUGUUGCACCUCACCUGGCUCACUCGGUGAGCUUCUUUGGAUUUUGGAGGCAUAUACCCCAUUUGGGCAUGCUGCUUUGACUCACUUAUUGGGCAACCCAUAGGAUACCAGUUCUGAAUAGGGUCUGCAAUAAGAAAAGGUCGUGCAGCGGGGCUGGGCUGAGGGCUCAGUUGUCCUGCCACUUGAGCCUUAUGACCUAGCGGAACCAGCAGUAGGAGAGAAUUUCCUUGGGAAAAGAAACUCCAAUAUAAUAAAAAUACAUACGAUUUUUAUUUUCUCAUUUUUAUAAAAUACAUGCUUAUUAUGCAAAUUUUAAAUAUACAAAUAAGGAAAAAGAAGAAAAUAAAUCAAUUAUAACCCCACAACCCAUAUAACUGUGGAUCCUAUUUUGGUGCAUAUCCUCCCAGUGUUUUUUGUUUUUUGUUUUUCCCUGAGGCAUGUAAAUACUUACCUUUUUCUUUAGAAGAACAGACUAUAUAGAACUAUAUAGAAUUCUAUAACUUACAUUUUCCAUUAAGUAUGUUAAAAGCCCUUCCUUAUUCUUCAGCAUCAUUAUUUUAAAUACCUGUUUCAUGGUUCAUUGUAUGGAUAUCUCAUGAUUUACUUAAUUUCUUAGCUGUGGAUAGUUAGAUUAUUUUCCAUUUUUAGCUAUUAUGACAGGUUUUGCUGACCACCAUAUUUUAAUUUUUAUUCUAUUAAACUAAAACCACAACCUAUAAAAAAAGAAAACUAUUACCUGAAAAGUAAUAUAUCUUUAAAUUAAAAAACGUGAAAAAAAGUACAUAUAUUUUAAUUUGGGGAGGAGAAAUGUAAAGCGUGCAUCUAUCCUUACAAUAAUGUAAAACUUUCUGGACGUAUUGCUUUUGUGAAGUAGGUGAUUAGUCCAGUUUCAUAUCCCACGAGCUUUGAGCAACAAACGUCUGGGACAGAAUUACACGUCAAACCCACAGACUGUAGAGAUUUCCUCUUGUUUUUUUCCAUCACUGUUGAUGAGCAUCAAAUAGUUUACUGUGACAUUUUGGUUUGGGUUAAUUCUGCCGAAGAACAACUUCCCUAAGAGUGGCCUUCUGUAUUAAUCAUGAUUUCUAGUUUCUAUAUUUUAUGAUGUUUGACAUCUUGGGAGGCAUUGCUGGCUGGGGAGAGACUGCCCCUUCCUGGGGCUACUUGGUUCCUAGAGAGUGCCAACAACUCCCUAGUGAGCAUCUUUUUCAUAUGCGCAUCAACCCAUCCAAAGUCUGCCUCCCCAGCCACUUCCUUUACUUACACACUCACACACCAAACCACCAUCUCCCCUGCCCUAAAUCAGGUACUGGGCAGCUGGAGACCACCCCUAGAGCUAGAAGCCCUGUUGAAAUUCUUCAAACUAUUCAAUCUUCAGCUUGUUCAAACCUGUCUACCCUGCCUUACCCAUUCCUUUCCCGAGAAUAAAGGCUCUGGGUCAUCUUAUCCUCACUCCUUCUGCCUCUUGGCGCUUUCCCACACCCUGUGUGGUGUGUGGGCCCAUCUCUUGGGAAAUGGAAGGAAUCAACUCUUCUUUCAAAGGUAGUUUUCCUGUGUCUGUCACCGCACCACACUUGAUUAAAACAAAUCCCAGGUACAUCUUAGAACACCUCCCUUCUCUCUUUAACCGGAAAUAUUCUAAAGCUGCCUGGGGUCCCAAUUCUAUGCCCUUCCUUAGCCUUUUCUGGUUUAUGGCCACAUCCACAUGGGGCUGGUGUGCAUCUAGCAUUUUUGGAUUGCCUGAGCCCUGAAGUUCUGUACACUGUGUGGAUAGAGUUUUUUUUUUUUUUUUUUUCCCGUAAUACAGAAUGCCCUUUAGGUAUUACAAUUUGUUUUUUAUUUUUCUGGUUUUAUUAUUAUUAUUAUUUUAACUGGAUCUUCAUGGUUUUUUCUUGUUCAAAAGAAGAAAAUAAUCCAUUAUUUUGCUUCAUAAUCUUUGAAUAGCUUCAUGAAACAAGAGGACCCCUGGAUUUUAUAUGACGAAAAUAUGUCUAUAGCAAAUGUAAAUUUUACCCACUGUGUGUCUUUCCCCAAAGCCCAGUAAUUGGACAUUUAAAAGAUGUCAACCGAAGCCUCCGUUUGAUCUCCAUAGCUCUGGCAGCUUAGAAAUAACUCCCGCUGAGAAACAGACAAAUGCCUGCUCACAAUGAGACUAGGAAGCACAGGGACCUCUAAGAAAAUGUGCGAUUCCCUAGGAAAGUAUAAAUCAAACAGAAAUCGAACCUGAGGGCUUAUGUACAUUUUAUUUUUAUUAUUAUUUUUUUAAUGUUUUAUUUAUUUAUUUGACAGAGACACAGCGAGAGAGGGAACACAAGCAGGGGAAGUGGGAGAGGGAGAAGCAGGCUUCCCGCGGAGCAGGGAGCCCGAUGUAGGGCUCGAUCCAGGACCCUGGGAUCAUGACCUGAGCCGAAGGAGACGCUUAACGCCUGAGCCACCCAGGCGCCCCGCUUAUGUACAUUUUAAAAAGACAUUUUUUUCCCCCCUGCAAAAUAAGCUUGGUAGAUUUUUUUUAAAAAAAUGACUUAUUUGAUAAAAUGCUGAAUUUAGCAAAUUUAGAAAAUUCAGUCAAACAUUAAAUGCUCACUGAGUACCAUGUCUACAGCUUGCAGGCUCAGAACAAAAAUGGCAAAAGCUCUUAAUAACGUAAUGUAUGAUAACACAAAAAGACAUAUACCGAGGAGUGAUGGAGUCACAAUGCCUCAAUUCUUGGGUGGGCUUCACUUAGUGACAGUGGGUAUCCCUUCACUUUCCAGACCCUUCUUCAUUCGUGAAAUGAAAGGACUGGACUGUCUGCAUUCUUCCCAUUCUAAAACUCUGACAUAUUAAGAAUUUACUUGGGAUUCUUUCUAUGACUAUUCCAAGCCCAUCUUUAGAUCUUUAAAUUAGAAAACCCUCUGGUAGAGAUCUUUCCUCUUAAUUUAUUAGCAGUACCAACCACUUCUGAUUUAUGUCAAAAUAUCGAUGCAUGCAUUUACAUUUUAUGAUGAAGAAAUGAAAAAAAAGGGGGGUGCCUGGGUGGCUCAGUUGGUUAAACGUCUGCCUCUUGAUCUUGGCUCAGGUGAUGAUCUCGGGGAUCAUGAGUUCGGGCCCCGAGUUGAGCUCCAGGCUUGGCAUGGAGCCUACUUAAAAAAAAAAAAAGAAAAGAAAAGAAAAAAAAAAGAGUAAUGGCUAAAAUGGAAAACUCUUUGACAAUGGUUUCUCGACGAAAGGAGGGUAGACGGCGUUCAUGCCAGUUGUGGAGUCGGGGAGCGCCCCACGCUGGUAGGCUCUGAAUUGCUCGCCUCUCUAAUGGUGACACUAGACACUGGCAAGUUCGGUCCCAGUUCUGGUUGAAUCCAAACCCCUUGUUUUGCCUGUGGAAUACGCCUUAGGAACGUGGGCUUUCGAGUUAAAUAACUGGGUUCUGAUUCUGGCCCUGUCACAUACUGCCUGUGCUACACACCAAUUAUUCCAUUUUCUGAAGGUUCAGUUUCGUUGCCUCUAAAAUGCAGCUGAGACUAAUGCCUGGUUCAGAGAGUAACUGUGAGGUUUCAGUGAGCGAAUGGCUGCUGCCGUUUGUUUUCACUGAGCAAGUGCUCAAACAGUGGUUCCUCUUAUUAGGCCCUAUUGCCUUCUUGGAUCUCAAUUCCGUGCCCUUAUGAUCUUGUAGAACUAGGAAUAGUAAAGAAAAAAUGUGAUAUGAUUUAUAAAUAAUAUAAAGGAAGUUGGGGGGAAUAGAGCAUCUAGUAUAAGAGAAAGAUGAACUAUUUCACGAAGGUAGAAAAUAGAUCCUAAUAGAGUUUACAAAGGCAGAAAAAUUAACUUAAGAAAUGACAGACAGGAAAAAAAAAUCAGUAUCAGAUUGGGAAGGGACAGGACAUUUUGACUCUCCUAAAGCUUUCAUACCACAGACAUUUUGAUAAGCAGACGGCAAAGGCUGUGAUUGUUAUUUGGGUGAUAACCAGUGGUUUCAUACCUUCUUCAUAACCCUGGAGAAUAAAAUGAAGUAGAUUCAAGGCCAUUAGGUUUUUUUCUGCUUGGAGUUUGUCUUUUUUUCCCGUCUUUUAAGAGUUCAGCUCUUCUUUGUAGAAGCACCCAGCUCACGUUACAAGUCUUUUUUUUUUUUUUUUUUUUAAGAUUUUAUUUAUUUGUCAGAGAGAGAGAGAACACAAGCAGGGGGAUGGCGGGCAGAGAGAGAAGCAGGGUCCUUGCUGAACAAGGAGCCCCAUGCGGGACUGGAUCUCAGGACCCCGGGAUCACGACCUGAGCCAAAGGCAGACACAACGUUGCAAGUCUUGAUGGGAGGAGACACCUACCCCUGACGUUGGAAGCCAGAGGGAACACUUUCUCUUUUCCAACCUGCACACCCAGCCAGGGGCAGCUCUGGAGCUGCGCUCUGCAAGCAGACACAUCUCUCAGACUUUGGCUCCUCUGGGGGGGAUACAGUGCGACGUGUGGACUGGGCUCUUCUUGCCAGGCCUACCCCUUCUGAGUUCUGUGAUUAUCUAUUUCCCCGUCUUGCUUGUGAGCUUUCCCUCCCCUCAAUCCUUCGCACCUCCAGGAGCCUCCCAGUGAAAUCCCUUUGUGCUGAGGGGAACCUGUUUAGUUUGGUUUCCCCCAGAAGCAGACUCUGGGGAAAGAGUUUGAAAGCAAGGAGUUUAUUUGGGAGGUGGCAGAAACAUCGGUUAGGAGAGUGGAGAUGGGAGGUGGGAAGAGAGAGCGCUGAUCAAAAGUGUAUAAUCACAGCCAUCUGGUGGGCUCCAGAAAUGAGGAACACGGAUCGUGCGGAACGUGCAGGAACGUGCAGGAACACAGAUCUCUGAGUUCUCUUGCUCACGUGGGGGCAGGCACGGGCGGAGUUAGAUACUGAUUUCUGUGAGUCCGAGCCUCGGGGCUGCUCCCGGCUUGCUCACUGUCCGAUCCUUCUGGCUGCCACCAGCAUGGGUAAGGGCAGCCUGCUCCUGUUCGGGGAAAGCCUCCCGUCAGAGGGCCAGCUCCUGGCAGUUGCCCCCGGGGUGCAGCACGCAGAGGCGAGGCAGGGGGGCUGCUGAGAGCAUCUGCUGCUGAGCCAGCCCGUCCCAGUUGCCUGAGAAUCAGAACCGGGCCUGCCACAUGCCAGAAGCAGGGCUGUAGCCAGACGGGCCACUCCCAGGUCAGUCAUGCCGACCCCACCUGCCUCCCCGACAUGGCCACGUCUUCCUUGGAGUCUCAGCCAGCCGGGUGCUCCUCCUUCCAGAUUCCUGGACCUCGGCAAAACCAGGCCGGCCAGUUGUGUGCUGGCCGCCCGGGAAUGGGGAGAGGAAAGGCUCUCUUUGACCUGAUUUCCCCAGUGGGAGGCAGAGCACUGAAUCCCACCUCUAUUGUCCUAAGAUUGGGAGGGGUGGGGGUUGGGGAAGUCAUGGGGAAGGAACCCUGACCCAUAUUCACGGCAGCCAUCACUUUGGCGUUUCCAUUUCCACCUUCAGUAGCAUCCCCAAAUCACACAGCCCAACAAGAAAAUCACCUGCCUAACAUGAUGAAUUAUUCCUCCGGUAACUAAAAAUGCACACACUUGUUCUCCUAAGGAAGAUCAACUAAAAUCACAUCGGUUAUGGUAAACACCUUCUGGGUUGGGAUUUCUCAAUAGGGUCUGUUCUUUCUCUAAUUCUGUGGUGAUCCCAUCACAAUAUUCCUACUGCUGGAGAGUGGAACAACCAAAGGAUCAGGCCUCGUGUGUAAUUAGAAGAAUACUAGUGCUCCAGAGGUGGUUGUGUUCUCCAAUUACCAAGUCUGUGACACCCAGGUCAGGGCCACGACUGGGAAAGGGCUGGGGAAUCUGGGUCGAUGCCUCAGAAAAUCUCGAAGCCCCAGACUCCUCUGAGUGUCCUGAGCCUGAGGAAAGGGCGUACUACUUCCUGUUAAAAACCAUAUUCCCUGCUUGUUUAAAAACAACACAGAAGCGUCUGCCAUGCAACACAAUAGGGAGUCCCCUCAGGAUCUCCAGCCAUCUCCUGCUCUGGCUAUCAGACCAGUAAGCAGGGUUGAAUCCAAUAAAACUCAACUGUGGGAGUGCUGAGCCUGCUAAGGAAGGACAGAGGCUCUGGGGCAGGGCAAGGAACCAGGGAACUCACCAGCAUGUGCUAGCAGCUGCUGGGAGGGUGUAGAUGGAACUGGAUCCUGACGGUGCCUGCUGAAGGGAGGUUAGAACAUAAUAAAGAGAGUUUAUCAUGGGAGCAUUCUUCCAUAAUACGUGAUUUAACACCUUUGGCAAUGACCCUGGGAAAUGAUGGCUCUUUAAAGUUUGCAGAAAGGCAAGGCCCACACCAAGUGAAGUAGAAAUUCCAGAACUGCUGUGGCAGGAGGUGGAAAAAUAGGUCAGAAGGCUCAGAGAAGAGGGCAUGCUAGAGUGGACAUAUAACCCAAGGCCAGAAAGCCCACCAACUGAUUACGUUCUGGGGCAGGGCCCAGAGGACAGUCCAUUUAUCAACAUAUUAAGGAAUGUUCUAUCGGGGCACCUUGGUGGCUCAGUCAGUUAAGCAUCUGCCUUCGGCUUGGGUCAUAAUCCCGGGGUCCUGGGAUUGAGCCCCACGUCGGGCUCCCUGCUCAGUGGGGGAGCCUGUUUCUCUCUCUCCCUCUGCCUGCCGCUCUGCCCACUUGUGCUCUCUCUGUCAAAUAAAUGGAUAAAAUCUUAAAAAAAAAAAAAAAAGAAUGCUCUGUUGAGAGGGCACCAGAUUCGCUGAGAGUCUCUUUGGUAGUUGUCCCUGGAGGACAGGGCUGAUGAUAGAAUAGGGCUUCCUGAUAACAAGGGGAUAAAAGGACUCCAAAAUAAUAAAGACCAGCAGGUCUUUACUCAUCAGAAGCAAUGAGGCUACAAAAUCGGAGUGUCAUGGGGGUGGGUGGGGCUGAUCACUAAGAAGGCUACAGAGAUGGUUAAUAGAUGUGUUCCCUGGGAGAGAGACUGAUGGACAGGCAAUAAGGGUAUUGCUUAAUUUAAGCCAUUGAGAGAAAUCAAGAAUGGAUGAUAAGAGAUCUGAGCUGUUUUAAGACCCAGAUACCCUGAAUUAAGGAGAGACCAUGUCUCCAAGAAGGAAGGAUACGGCAACACCAUGGCUAGUAGAUACGGCAGUGAUUCCUCUAGUCCUUUCCCAGGGAGACCCAUGGCCAUUUGCUCAUACAACCAAUCACUGGGGAAAGGGAAUAACCAAACAUUUCCAAACCUAUUGGACAUAGGGUAUAAGUUGACAGUGCUAUCUGAGAACCCAAAGCAGUUUUGUGGUCCACUGUUAGAGUGGGGGCAAAUGGGAGGCCAGGAAAUAAGAGCCUUGACUCAGGUCUACUUCAUAGUGGGUCAUCUGGUCUCUAGUGGGUCAGUUGGCCCCUAAAUUGGUAUUUAGGCAGAACCUCUACAUUGGCUCCUUGGCCUGAAAGAUAAGAGCACCACAGUGGGUAUUCCUUGAAACUCCUCAUCCCCUUCCCACUGCUCCAGCCCAAACAAUAUUAUAUCUUCAUGGGAAACAGCACAGGCUAAGGUUACCCUAAAGGAUGUAGGAGGUAGUGGUUCUCUUGCAUUCCCGUUUAAUUUGCAGAUUUAGCCCCUAAAACAUCUAGACCAGUCCUGGAGGAUUACAUAAGAUUACUCACACUCAACCAGGUAAUACCUUAGACUGCAGUAUUGUGCCAGAUGUGGGCAUCUAAACAAAACCUCAGGUGCACAGAUAGUGGUGAAUGAAUGCUGGUGUGAAUGAACAUUGAACGGUGAGGAACGUGUCCUAUUCCAUUCCUGUCAGAGAGGAGAUUAGAACAGUUCAUAUUUUGCCAGGGUGGACCACAUUUGUGGUCUGUAAAUGUUCUUACCUUGAGUCACUUCUCUUUCCACAUGAAGUGGACAACUAAGUGUAUGGCCCUAGGCUCUGCUCAUUGUGAAUACCUGCCUUCACUGCUGUGUUUUGGGGCUGUCCCUAUGGGACAGCAGCGGUCCAUAGGGACCAUUUUCAGCCCUGCAUAGCGUCGUCAGCUGGUCAUCAGGGACUCUCCUCCAUACUGCUUUGGGUGUGAGCUGAGCUGAAAGAGGGGAACUUGAUGAACCCAUCUGGAAUGCAUUCCUCUGCAUUAUGCUAAUGGAUUUCUGUCACCUCAACUUUGUUUAACAUUGGUCACCAUAGUUUAAUUUUGGAGAAAUUCAAGCUGCUUGUGGUGGCACGCCGAAUCCAGAAUCCAGAAUCUUGGGUAGGUUACCAGUAUCAGUCCAGGUUCAACCAGAGAGACAGAACCAGUGGAAGAUAUACAUUAAGGGAUUUAUUCCGCAGAAUUGGCUCACGUGAUUGUGGGGCUGGCAAGGCAAGUCCAAAAUUUAUAAGACAGUUUUUCAGGAAUGGCAGGUUGGACUUCUUGAAUAAGAGCCUUUUUUUUUUUUCUAUAAGAUUUUUAUUUGUCAGAGAGAGAGAGAGAGCACAAGCAGGGGGAGCAGCGGGCAGAGGGAGAAACAGGCUUCCUGCUGAGCAGGAAGCCCAAUGCGGGACUUGAUCCCAGGACUAGGAUCAUGACCUGAGCAGAAAGCAGACAUUUAACCAACCGAGCCACCCAGGCGUCUCUUGAUUAAGAACCUUAUCUGCUAUCCACAGGUGGAGUUUCUUCCUCGUGAAAGCCUCAGUUUUACUCUUUAAAGCCUUUCAACUGAUUUAAUCAGGCCCACCCAGGUUAUUUAUAAUCUCCUUCACUUCAAGUCAAUGGAUUGUGGACUUUAAUUACAUCUACAAAAUACCUUCACAGAAACACCUAGAUUAGCAUUUGAUUAAAUAACUGUAGGACUAUAGCUCAACCAAGUUGAUGCAUAAAACUGACCAUCAGAGUACCUGUAACAUUAAAUUCAAUCCCAUUUAAAAAUCAAAUCUUAAAAAAAAGCACCAAAUUUAUAGAUACAGAGAACAGAUUGGUGGUUGCUAGAAGUGGGGGGUAAGGAGUGGGGGGAAAUAGUUGAGGGGAGUCAAAAGGUACAAACUUCCAGUUAUGACAAAUAAGCUACGGGGAUAUAAUGUACAGCACAGUGACUCUAGUUAAUAUAACUUUAUUGCGUGUUUGAAAGUUCUAAGAGAGUGAAUCUUAGAAGUUCUUACCAUAAGAAAAAAAAUUCUGUAUCUACGUAUGGUGACAGAUGUUAACUAGACUUAUGGUGGUGAUCAUUUCCCAGCAUAUGCAAAUAUCUAAUCAUUAUGUUGUACAUCUGAAACCAAUAUGCUGUAUGUUAAUCAUACCUCAAUAAAAAUCAUAUUUUAAUGUUUUUCAUUUCUUUAAAAAAAAAGACUUCAUUUUUUCCCCCAAGUUUUUAUUUAAAUUCCAGUUAGUUAAUAUACAGUGUAAUACUAGUUUCAGGUGUAGAAUUUAGUCAUUCAACACUUCCAUACCUCUUUGACAUUGGCCAUAGCUACUUCUUACUAGAUGUGUCUCUUAUAUGGGAAACAAAAGCAAAAAUAAUCUAUUAGAACUUCCUCAAAAUAAAAAGCUUCUGCCCAGCAGAGGAAACAAUCAACAAAACUAAAAGGCAAUCUACGGAAUAAGUGAGAACAUUUGCAAAUGACAGAUCUGAUAAAGAAUUAGUAUCCAAAAUAUACAAACAACUUAUAAAACUCAACACCCAAAUAAUCCAGUUAAAAAAUGGGAAGACAUGAAUAAACAUUUUUCCAAAGAAGACAUCCAGAUGGCCGACACUUGAAAAGAUGCCCAACAUCAGGGGCACCUGGGUGGCUCAGUUGGUUAAGCGAUUGCCUUCUGCUCAGGUCAUGAUCCCAGGGUCCUGGGAUCGAGCCCCACGUUGGGCUCCCUACUCGGCGGGGAGUCUGCUUCUCCUUUUCCAUCUGCCACUCCCCCUGCUAGUGCUCUCCUGCUCUCUCAUUCUAUCAAAUAGAUAGAUAAAAUCUUAAAAAAAAAAAAAAAAGAUGCUCAACAUCACUUAUCAUCAGGGAAACGAAAAUCAAAACUACAACGAGGUAUCACCUCACACCAGACAGAACUGCUAAAAUGAACAACACAGGAAACAGGUGUUGGUGAGGAUGUAGAGGAAUGGGAACCCUCUUACAUUGUUGGUGGGAAUGUAAACUGCUGCAGCCGCUCUGGAAAACAGUAUGGAGGUUCCUCCAAGAGUUAAAAAUAGAGGUACUCUAUGACCCAGUAAUUGCAGUACUAGGGGUUUACCCAAAGGAUACAAAAAAAGAAAAGACUUCAUUUUUAAGGGCAGUGUUAGGUUCAUAGCAAAAUGCAAAGGAAGGUAUAGAGAUUUCCCAUAUAAUCCCGCCCCCCUAAUUAUCAAUACCCCCCACCAGAAUGGGACAUGGAUUACCACUAUUGAACCUAUACUGACAUAUCAUGAUCACCGUAAGUCCAUGGUUUACAUUAGGAUUCAUUCUGUGGGUUUGGACAAUUGUAUAUUGACAUGUAUCUAUCAUUAUGGUAUCAGAUUAUUUUUGCUGCCCUAAACAUCCUCCAUGUUUUGUGUAUUCAUCUCUGUCCCCUCCCCAAGCUCUGGCAACCAGUGAUCUUUUUACAAUCUCCAUAGUUUUGUCUUUCCAGAAUGUCAUAUAGUUGGAAUCAUACAGUAUGCAGCCUUUUCAGAUUGAUUUCUUUCACUUAGUAAUGUGCAUUUAAACCUUUCCCAUGUCUUUUCAUGGCUUGAUAGCUCAUUUAUUUUUAGGCUGAAUAAUAUUCCAUUGUCUGAUGUAUCACAGUUGAUUUAUCCAUUCACCGACUGAAGGACAUCCUGGUUGCUUCCAAGUUUUGGCAAAUAUGAAUAAGGCUGCUAUAAACAUCCGUGUGCAGGUUUUGUGUGGGUAUAAGUUUUCAAUUCCUUUAGGUAAAUACCAAGGAGCAUGAUUGCUGGAUCAUAUGGUAAGUGUAUGUUUAGCUUUGUAAGAAACAGCCAAACUGCCUUCCAAAGUGGCUGCAACAUUUUUCAUUCCCAUCAGCAAUGAAUGAGAGUUCCUGUUGCUACACAUCCUCACCAGCAUUUGGUGUUGGUAGUGUUUCAGAUUUUGGCCAUUCUGAUCGGUGUGUUCUGGUUGAAUCAUUUUUUGACUGGAAAGUUUUUAGAUCUUUCCGUUACUUUUGAGUUAUUUGGGAACUCUUUUGAAUAAAGGGUUCACCAAUAGCACAAGAAAUAAACCCUAGUGUUACUUGGUACCAGGCAGCACACUUAGGGUUUUACCUGUAUUGUCUCAUUAAAGAUUUUAUUUAUUUAUUUGAGAGAGAGCAAGAGAGAGAGAGCACAAGAGCAAGGGGGAGGGGAAGAGGCAGAGGGAGAAGCAAAUUCCUCACUGAGCAGGGAGGCUGAUGCGAUAUGGGGCCUCGAUCCCAGGACCCCAGGAUCAUGACCUAAGCCAAAGGCAGAUGCUUCACCGGGGUGGCCUUGAGCCACCCAGGCACCCCUGUAUUGUUUCAUUAAAUACCAUGAGAUCAGUACUCUUGUUACCCUCUUUCAUUUUUGAAGAAAGUGAGAUUUAGGGAAAUUGCCUAAAUUCAUUCAGCUGCAGUUCAACCUAGGUCUGUUUGGCUUCGAAGUUUAUGGCUUUUUAUUUUAGAAUAGUUUUAGGUUAUAGAAAAAUUGCAAAGAUAACACAGAGCGUCCUGUAUUCCCAGUGCUAUGGACUGAAUGUUUGUGUCCCAGGAUUCCUGUGUUGAAGCUUAAACCCCAGUGUGAUGAUAUUGGGAGGGGUGACGUUUGGGAGGUGAUUAGGUCAUGAGGGUGGAGCCCCAAUCAUGAGAUUAGUGCCCUUGUAAAAGAGACUCCAGAGAGCUCCCUCACCCUUCCACAAUGUGAAAACACGGCAAGAAGAUGGCCGUCUGUGAGCCAGGAAGUGGGUCCUCACUAGACACUGAAUCUGCCAGCACCUUGAUCUCAGACUUCCAAGCCCCCAGAACUGUGAGAAAGAAAUGUUUUUGUUUAAGCCAUCCAGUCUAUGAUAUUUUUGUUAUAGCCACACGAAUGGACCCACAGACUCAGUUUCCCCUAAUAUUAACAUCUUCUGUAACUGCAGUACAUUUGCUGAAACUAUGAGCUUAACCUUGGUUCAUUACUGUUAACUAAGCUCUAGACUUUACUCAGAUUUCACCAGUUUUUCCACUAAUGUCCUUUUUCUAUCUUAGGACCCAGUCCAGAAUAUACCGAAUUGCAUUUAGAAAAGCUUGUCAUUUUAACCAUUUCACUUGGAUUGCUCUAUAGAGAAGUUUAUAAAUCUACAAAAAGGUAGAAAAUUCCAUAAUUGUUCUUUGAGUCUGGGUGACACAGCCUAAUUAUGGAAUUGUUCAGGUCGAACAUUUCUGUUUUUCUUAGAAUAUAAUAACCACUUUGAUUUUCAGAUAUACUUUGAUUUUUGUGCCUGAUCCAAAAACUCAGAGACUUUUCCUUAAAGCUUUUUGUAAUAGCUUUCAGUAACACUCUUAGUUUCUUAGUUUUCCAGAGAAAUAAGCUCCCAAGUAACCAUGUUAGUGUUACUCAGAACUCUGCAGUCCUCUUGUCCUGAUGGCUUCCUUCCACAAGCCUUCAUCUCUGUUCCCUUCAU